This 1862-nucleotide long non-coding RNA is filed under the name Sus scrofa (pig). RNAcentral's name for it is "lncRNA (ENSSSCG00035013092.1)". The record is from RNAcentral. Lineage: Eukaryota; Metazoa; Chordata; Mammalia; Artiodactyla; Suidae.
CAACAGCAGACAGAGGCCAAAUUACAGCAACACUAGGAAAUAACGUCUACAAAGAUCAAGAGUUCCACCGACACUAGACCAGAAGUGAGCAAUGUGGAGUCCAGUCCGAUGUGACUGAGCCAAAGGACUUAAAGUUUUGAGGCCAGGAGAUAGGAGUAAAGAGGCACCUUGCAGCCUCUGUGAUGUGUAUUUGGUAUUACACCUUUACCACGUACAUUAUUAUUCCAAGCUCUCAAAAGAAUCCUCAACACAAACCCAGGAAACAGGUGCAGUCUUUAUUUUGCAAAUGAGGAGACUGAAGCACAAAGAGGGUGUGGCUUUCAGCCCUUGCUGUUCUUGUACUGAUCACUUGCCAUACAGGCAUAUCAGGCAGGACAUAGAACCUAGAGGCCACUGAGACCAGUAGCCGGGAGGAGAAAUAUAUAUUUUAAAAUGCACGGAAGACACAGAGAAGAAAACAAGGCUACCCAAAUCUGACGAUGCAGCCUCUUCUGGGAAGCAUGAUUUGUCUCCAAGACUGACCUCCUUCCAGUGCGUGUCCUUGGUGUGUGGACCACCAUCCAAGUAUUUAUUGAGAAGACACUAUGUCUUAGGCCCUUUGCCUGGUGUUGAAAAUGCAGCUGGGAUCAAGACAGACACAUCACUUUAUGAGAUGGGAGAAAACAACCAUUUCCACUGGAGUCAGGUAAAGACUGCAGUUUUUCUGCCAAGAAAAGAAAAGAUUACAGAGGGAAAAAAAAGAAGACAGGAGGAUCCUUUGUUCUUGAAAAGAGACUUGAGAAAUUACUGCCUCACAACAUCACACAGCUGUUUUAAACAACAUCUGAUGGAAUUGUUGCUGGUUGUAUUAAAAAAUAAUUGAGGAGGUUUUUCCCUUUUUUGUGUAAAAGUGAUCCUAUUUCUUCUAUAAAUGUUUAAGAGAAUUUAUGGCAAAGCCAUCUUAUUCUGACAUUUCUUUGUGAAAAUAUGUUUUUUUUGUAGAUUUAGCAGCUUUAAUAGAGAUAGGACUGUUUAGCUUUUCUAUUUCUUCUUAUAUAAGGUUUACUAAAUUGUGUUUCUCAAAAGAUUUGUCCAUUUUAUCUGAAUAGUCAAAUCAUUGCUUUAAGUUUUUCUAAACAUAUUUUAAUUAUAUUUUUAACGUCUAAAGGCUAUGGAGUAAUAUCCGCAUUGCUACUUUAAUGGUUUGUGUUUAUUCUUCAUUUUUUCUUUUGAUCUGUUUUGUAGGAUUUCAUUAAUUUUAUUAGUCUUUCAAAUACCCAACUUUUUGCUUCUUUGAUUUCUCUAUUUGUACUUUUUUUUUCUGCCAUCUUCAUCUUCUCUGUAUUAUUUAUGUUUUAUUUGCUAAUCUUUAUUUAGCUUCUUGAAACAGGUACUCAGGUCAUUGACUUAUAAACUUUCUUUCCUAUAACAUGCCUUUAAAAUUUCCUUUUCAUCACAGCUUUAGCUGCAAUCUAAGAUUUACUAUAUCAUAUUUGUAUUAUCAUUAAAUUAAAAAUAUUUUCUGAUUUCCACUUUAAGUAUUUCCUUGUAAAUUAUAGAAGGGAAUUAAUUUCUAAACAAUGAGAGAUUUUCUUUUUAAAAAAUAAUUUUAUUGAAGUAUAAUUGAUAUACAAAAAGGUCAUAUUUAAUGUAAAAAAUUUGGUAAGUUUGUAUCUAUGCACUAUCACACACCCAUGAAACCCUCAUCACCUUCAAGGUUAUAAAUGUAUCCAUCGCCUCCAAAAUUUUCCUGUGUUCUUUGUUUUUUGUUGUUGCUGUUCUUUUGUUUUUGUGGUUAAGAACACAACAUCAGAUCUACACUCUUAACAAAUAUUUAAGUGUAUAAUACUUAAGUGUUAACUGUAGAAUAUAUUUGUUCUCAA